This 29-nucleotide non-coding RNA is filed under the name Mus musculus (house mouse). The record is from RNAcentral. Lineage: Eukaryota; Metazoa; Chordata; Mammalia; Rodentia; Muridae.
UGACAGGUGUGACAGGUUCUUAGGGCUGA